AAGUCGUAACAAGGUAACCGUAGGUGAACCUGCGGUUGGAUCAUUAUUGAUUUAACUAUGAUUUUUUUUUUUUGGUUUUGAUGCCUAAAUUUCUUGGGCUCCCAAAAAAGGAUCAUUUUUAACACUAUGUGCAAUGUAAUUGUUUUUUGGGCCUUUAGGAAUUUUUUUUUUCUUUAGGCCCUAAAUUCUUAUAAACCCCUAUUAAAUUUUGACUGAUUAAACCAAGAUUUUUAUAAAUCAAAAUACAACUUUUGACAACGGAUCUCUUGGCUCUC
This 275-nucleotide unclassified non-coding RNA is filed under the name fungal sp. RNAcentral's name for it is "partial internal transcribed spacer region". The stretch from base 1 to 46 matches the Rfam family "Eukaryotic small subunit ribosomal RNA", at positions 1786 to 1831 of the family's 1831-position model. Lineage: Eukaryota; Fungi. The record is from RNAcentral.